GACGAACGCUGGCGGCGUGCUAAUACAUGCAAGUAGAACGCUGAAGAGAGGAGCUUGCUCUUCUUGGAUGAGUUGCGAACGGGUGAGUAACGCGUAGGUAACCUGCCUUGUAGCGGGGGAUAACUAUUGGAAACGAUAGCUAAUACCGCAUAACAAUGGAUGACACAUGUCAUUUAUUUGAAAGGGGCAAUUGCUCCACUACAAGAUGGACCUGCGUUGUAUUAGCUAGUAGGUGAGGUAACGGCUCACCUAGGCGACGAUACAUAGCCGACCUGAGAGGGUGAUCGGCCACACUGGGACUGAGACACGGCCCAGACUCCUACGGGAGGCAGCAGUAGGGAAUCUUCGGCAAUGGGGGCAACCCUGACCGAGCAACGCCGCGUGAGUGAAGAAGGUUUUCGGAUCGUAAAGCUCUGUUGUAAGUCAAGAACGAGUGUGAGAGUGGAAAGUUCACACUGUGACGGUAGCUUACCAGAAAGGGACGGCUAACUACGUGCCAGCAGCCGCGGUAAUACGUAGGUCCCGAGCGUUGUCCGGAUUUAUUGGGCGUAAAGCGAGCGCAGGCGGUUUGAUAAGUCUGAAGUUAAAGGCUGUGGCUCAACCAUAGUUCGCUUUGGAAACUGUCAAACUUGAGUGCAGAAGGGGAGAGUGGAAUUCCAUGUGUAGCGGUGAAAUGCGUAGAUAUAUGGAGGAACACCGGUGGCGAAAGCGGCUCUCUGGUCUGUAACUGACGCUGAGAAGCGAAAGCAUGGGGAGCGAACAGG
Molecule: ribosomal RNA, 764 nt
Filed under: uncultured Streptococcus sp.
Lineage: Bacteria; Bacillati; Bacillota; Bacilli; Lactobacillales; Streptococcaceae
Description: bacterial SSU rRNA
Rfam family: Bacterial small subunit ribosomal RNA
Source: RNAcentral